Molecule: ribosomal RNA, 434 nt
Filed under: uncultured Ruminococcus sp.
Lineage: Bacteria; Bacillati; Bacillota; Clostridia; Eubacteriales; Oscillospiraceae
Description: partial 16S ribosomal RNA
Rfam family: Bacterial small subunit ribosomal RNA
Source: RNAcentral
ACGGGAGGCAGCAGUGGGGAAUAUUGCACAAUGGGCGCAAGCCUGAUGCAGCGAUGCCGCGUGAGGGCAGAAGGUUUUCGGAUUGUAAACCUCUGUCAUCGGGGACGAUAAUGACUGUACCCGAGAAGGAAGCUCCGGCUAACUACGUGCCAGCAGCCGCGGUAAUACGUAGGGUGCGAGCGUUAUCCGGAAUUACUGGGUGUAAAGGGAGUGUAGGCGGGACUGUAAGUCAGAUGUGAAAUAUACCGGCUCAACUGGUAGACUGCAUGUGAAACUGCGGUUCUUGAGUGAAGUAGAGGUAAGCGGAAUUCCUAGUGUAGCGGUGAAAUGCGUAGAUAUUAGGAGGAACAUAAGUGGCGAAGGAGGCUUACUGGGAUUUAACUGACGCUGAGGCUAGAAAGCGUGGGGAGCAAACAGGAUUAGAUACCCUGGUA